RNAcentral lists this ribosomal RNA (443 nucleotides) under uncultured bacterium. RNAcentral describes it as "partial 16S ribosomal RNA". It matches the Rfam family "Bacterial small subunit ribosomal RNA", at positions 338 to 795 of the family's 1533-position model. The record is from RNAcentral.
CCUACGUGAGGCAGCAGUGGGGAAUAUUGGGCAAUGUGCGCAAGCCUGACCCAGCAACGCCGCGUGAAGGAAGAAGGCUUUCGGUUUGUAAACUUCUUUUCUUGGGGACGAAGAAAGUGACGGUACCCAAGGAAUAAGCCCCGGCUAACUACUUGCAGGCAGCCGCGUUAAUACGUAGGUGGCAAGCGUUAUCCGGAUUUAUUGUGUGUAAAGGCCGUGUAGGCGGGAGUGCAAGUCAGAUGUGAAAACCACGGGCUCAACCUGUGGCCUGCAUGUGAAACUGUAGUUCUGGAGUGCUGGAGAGGCAAUUGGAAUUCCGUGUGUAGCGGUGAAAUGCGUAGAUAUACGGAGGAACACCAGUGGCGAAGGCGGAUUGCUGGACAGUAACUGACGCUGAGGCGCGAAAGCGUGGGGAGCAAACAGGAUUAGAUACCCGGGUAGUC